CUCAGGUAUCAAACUCGUCCAUGUGCGGCUGGUUUUAUAGUCGCAGGUCUCCGUUUAUGUAGUGACCACUACGUAUGGGUCGGGUGUUAGUCCCUGAGGUAUGAAUGGGACUGUUCUCGUCGAGUCCCAGGAGUGCUGUGGUGAGUUGAUGCCUUGUUGGGCUACCUGGUUGAGGGAGUCCGGAGGUAGGCCCAAGGCCUGCAGUAACUGCGCUGCGUCGGCUGGGUCCUGUAGCUUGUGGGAUUCCGUUCCCUGCCGUACUGCGAGCGUGUGGAAAGGCCGCCAGCUGUAUUGAAGAUCCUGAAGAUGCGUUCAGG
Pelobates cultripes (western spadefoot toad) is the source of this 317-nucleotide non-coding RNA. NCBI's taxonomy places the organism in Eukaryota, Metazoa, Chordata, Amphibia, Anura, Pelobatidae. The record is from the annotation of a GenBank genome assembly.